RNAcentral lists this ribosomal RNA (465 nucleotides) under uncultured bacterium. RNAcentral describes it as "partial 16S ribosomal RNA". It matches the Rfam family "Bacterial small subunit ribosomal RNA", at positions 28 to 507 of the family's 1533-position model. The record is from RNAcentral.
GACGAACGCUGGCGGCGUGCUUAACACAUGCAAGUCGAACGGAAAGGCCCUGCUUGCUGGGUCCUCGCGUGGGGAACGGGUGAGUAAGACGUGGGUGAUGUGCCCUGCCCUUCGGGGUAAGCCUGGUACACUGGGUCUAAUCCCGGAUCGGAGCCAUUUUCAGUGUGAUGGUUGGAGAGUUUUUUGGGUGUAGGAUGAGCUCGCGGCCUAUCCGCUUGUUGGUGGGGUAAUGGCCUCCCAAGGCGGCGACGGGUAGCCGGCCAGUGAGGGUGGACGGCCACACUGAGACCGAGGGGCGGCACCGGCUGCGACGAGUGGAAGAAGUGGGGAAGAUUGCACAAUGGGCGCAAGGCGGAUGCAGCGGCGCCGCGUGGGGGAUGACGGUCUUCGGGUUGUAAACGCCUUUCGCGAGGGACGAAGCUUUUUGUGACGGUACCUAGAGAAGAAGCACCGGCUAACUACGUG